RNAcentral lists this ribosomal RNA (488 nucleotides) under uncultured bacterium. RNAcentral's name for it is "partial 16S ribosomal RNA". It matches the Rfam family "Bacterial small subunit ribosomal RNA", at positions 28 to 507 of the family's 1533-position model. The record is from RNAcentral.
GAUGAACGCUGACAGAAUGCUUAACACAUGCAAGUCAACUUGAAUUUGGGUUUUUAACUUAGGUUUGGGUGGCGGACGGGUGAGUAACGCGUAAAGAACUUGCCUCACAGCUAGGGACAACAUUUGGAAACGAAUGCUAAUACCUAAUAUUAUGAUAAUAGGGCAUCCUAUAAUUAUGAAAGCUAUAAGCGCUGUGAGAGAGCUUUGCGUCCCAUUAGCUAGUUGGAGAGGUAACGGCUCACCAAGGCGAUGGUGGGUAGCCGGCCUGAGAGGGUGAUCGGACACACUGGAAUUGAGACACGGUCCAGACGCCGACGGGAGGCAGCAGUGGGGAAUAUUGGAGAUGGGGCGCAAGCCUUCUCCAGCCAUGCCGCGUGUGUGAAAAAGAUCUUCGGAUUGUAAAGAAAGUUAAGUAGGAAGGAAGUGCAGGAAGAUAAUACCGUGCUGUUUUGACGUUAACCACAGAAUAAGCAACGGCUAACUUCGUG